CAGUAGCCGCGGGAAUACGGAGGGUGCAAGCGUUAAUCGGAAUUACUGGGCGUAAAGCGUGCGUAGGUGGUGGUUUAAGUCCGUUGUGAAAGCCCUGGGCUCAACCUGGGAAUUGCAGUGGAUACUGGGUCACUAGAGUGUGGUAGAGGAUAGUGGAAUUUCCGGUGUAGCAGUGAAAUGCGUAGAGAUCGGAAGGAACAUCUGUGGCGAAGGCGACUAUCUGGGCCAACACUGACACUGAGGCACGAAAGCGUGGGGAGCAAACAGGAUUAGAUACCCGUGUAGUCCCUGUCUCUUAUAC
RNAcentral lists this ribosomal RNA (301 nucleotides) under uncultured bacterium. Its description in RNAcentral is "partial 16S ribosomal RNA". It matches the Rfam family "Bacterial small subunit ribosomal RNA", at positions 509 to 807 of the family's 1533-position model. The record is from RNAcentral.